RNAcentral lists this ribosomal RNA (447 nucleotides) under uncultured bacterium. RNAcentral's name for it is "bacterial SSU rRNA". It matches the Rfam family "Bacterial small subunit ribosomal RNA", at positions 355 to 825 of the family's 1533-position model. The record is from RNAcentral.
UCGGGAAUUUUGGGCAAUGGGGGAAACCCUGACCCAGCAACGCCGCGUGAAGGAUGAAGUAUUUCGGUAUGUAAACUUCGAAAGAAUAGGAAGAAUAAAUGACGGUACUAUUUAUAAGGUCCGGCUAACUCUGUGCCAGCAGCCGCGGUAAUACGUAGGGUGCAAGCGUUAAUCGGAAUUACUGGGCGUAAAGCGUGCGCAGGCGGUUGUGUAAGUCAGAUGUGAAAUCCCCGGGCUCAACCUGGGAAUUGCAUUUGAGACUGCACGGCUAGAGUGUGUCAGAGGGGGGUAGAAUUCCACGUGUAGCAGUGAAAUGCGUAGAUAUGUGGAGGAAUACCGAUGGCGAAGGCAGCCCCCUGGGAUAACACUGACGCUCAUGCACGAAAGCGUGGGGAGCAAACAGGAUUAGAUACCCCGGUAGUCCCUGAGCGGGCUGGCAAGGCGCAU